GUGGGGAAUAUUGGGCAAUGGGCGCAAGCCUGACCCAGCAAUGCCGCGUGGGUGAAGAAGGCCCUCGGGUCGUAAAGCCCUUUCGGCGGGGACGAUGGUGACGGUACCCGCAGAAGAAGCCCCGGCCAACUUCGUGCCAGCAGCCGCGGUAAUACGAAGGGGGCUAGCGUUGCUCGGAAUCACUGGGCGUAAAGGGCGCGUAGGCGGCCCCGCCCGUCGGGCGUGAAAUCCCCGGGCUCAACCCGGGGCGGUCGCCCGGGACGGCGGGGCUGGAGGCCGGGAGAGGGCCGCGGAAUUCCCAGUGUAGAGGUGAAAUUCGUAGAUAUUGGGAAGAACACCGGUGGCGAAGGCGGCGGCCUGGCCCGGACCUGACGCUGAGGCGCGACAGCGUGGGGAGCAAACAGG
RNAcentral lists this ribosomal RNA (405 nucleotides) under uncultured bacterium. RNAcentral describes it as "bacterial SSU rRNA". It matches the Rfam family "Bacterial small subunit ribosomal RNA", at positions 354 to 776 of the family's 1533-position model. The record is from RNAcentral.